AACGCGACUCUGCGGGAGGGAAGAAAGCAGACUGUUGCCGACAUUUUCUCAGCAGCAUUGAACGCCUUGAACGAUCCUUGUGUUGUGAAGAUGCUGUGGAAGUGAUUCUUCGAAAGCUUUACGGUGGACAGAUUCUGCAGGUUCUGCAUGGCAACAAGGGACGAGAUGCAAGCCAAAGAGAUGACUGCAAACCAGAAAAUGACCAUGAGAGUCAUUCUAACAGAGGCAGAUAUAAGGAAAGUCAUCCUACAUUCAAGGCCUUCUACAGUAAAAGACUUGAUAACCAAGCUUCGAGAGUCACUGGGACUUCAAUACAACUUCAGUCUCCAAUUCCAAGACCCUGAAUUCAAUAAUGAACUAUGUAAUCUAACAGAUCUUCAAGAACUUCCAGAAAAACCAACCAUUAAAGUCCUGCCUGUCUUUGACCUGGUGCCUGUCUCAUCUGAUGACGUCUUUAGCGACACAAGUACUGCAGAUACAGAGAUACUCUCACAUUCACCUCAGGAUCGACGUGAACCAUGGCCAGAAUUUUUGACAUUCCAACAUUUUCUGUUGAUGUGGAGUAUAGACUGAGGCAAGCAGAUUUGCUGUUUAUGAGUGAAGGAACACACCUUAAGGUCUCAAAAGAGCUGAAACAUGAGAUACUAGAGAGACUGGCAGAAAGCAUGUAUAGCUACACAGCAUACCCAACUGCUGCUCAGUUUGAAAGUGUUGCAACAGCACUGAUAAACAAACACCCCUGUCUCCAGGAGCGAGGCUCUGUCACUCGCUGUUGUGGUUGG
This is a long non-coding RNA of Oreochromis aureus, 782 nucleotides long. RefSeq lists it as uncharacterized. Lineage: Eukaryota; Metazoa; Chordata; Actinopteri; Cichliformes; Cichlidae. The record is from RefSeq and is a predicted model, not a curated record. The transcript has 4 exons.